GGGCUAUAUUUGAACAAAAAAAUAUGUGUCUAAACAACGGUACUUUAAACAUGUGCACAAUACAUAAUACCGAUAUACCAUGCUGGUACAGUAGUGUACUAGCUUAGCUAUGAACAAAUUAUAGUUCUAGUAGUGGAUUAGCUCACCCUGCGGCCCUUUAUUAGCCUCCGCUUACGCAAUGAGGCCUUCUUACAGGUUGGUGUAUAGAUACUGUAUGCAUCAAUCAGGCCUUCCUCGGCUUCAGCUACAUCAUAGAUCUGGUUGCAUGCCUUGGAAGCAUGCGCAGAUGAAUCAAACUCACAGGCCAACUGCAGCUUCUGAUAGGUAUCAUCAGAGAUCAGCCCAUGCGUCCACCAGUACUCGAAAGUUCCAACGUAAUCAUGGUAAUCAUCAAUAACGGCAUUUCCGACCUAGAACAGCGAUUGAUUAUUUGAUCAUAUGUAACAAGAAAAAUGUCCAGACCAAUUAAGGGAGAAUCAAAAGAAGAGCUGAUUAGUUUCUGACCAUGAAGCCUUUGAAGUUGAGGAUGGGCUUCUUGAUACCUUUGUUGUUUCUGAACACUAGCUGAGACAACUGAGGAACAUAGUGCCCUGAAAAGCAGCCAUUGCAGCAACAGUGAACAAACUAGGUGACACAUGAAUCAUAUACAUGUGAUUGCUGGAUAAUGUUGAACGCAGAGCCAACAUGCUAGAAUUAACCAAUUCGAUCUGAUGGCAAUUCACCUCCAUAGCUCUCCCCGGAGAUGUAGAAAUCGCGAUGCUUGUACUGCGGAAACCUCUCCAGCCAAUUCACCAAGAAAGUGUACGAAUCGUGAGCUGCAAGAUAUCAUUGGUAUUCAGCAGAAGACAUCCUCAUGCGAGCAAAGAACAGUACUAGCACUUGAAUAGAUAAGUAAUCCUGAAAAAUUGACCUGUCUUGUUGUCGCCGGGUGUGAAGAGAUCGGAGGUGGUGUUGGAGUAGGAGUACCCUACGCCUGCGGGGGAGUCCAAGAAGAGCAUGUUGGCCACUGCAAGGAACGAGCCGAUCCAAUUCCAUCCCAGUGUCAGUUGUCAAGGAAGCUAACACAAUUCUCGGUCAAAAGAAGAAGAGAGCGAGGGAGAAAAAAAAUCGACUCUUGUUCCAGGAGUAGGGGUUGGGGACGAGCGUGGUGCCGUCGGGGCUGAUCCGGAAGGCGCCGAGCUCCUCGGAUGCGCCGUAGCCGACGGAGGAGCAGCCGGGCCCGCCGUUGAGCCAGAGCACGAGCGGGGCCGAGUCCGGCGCGGCGGUGGAGGAGGCCUCGAUGAGCCAGUAGAAGAGCGCCCGCCCCGCGGCGGCGUCCACGGUGACGUAGCCCGAGUACAUGGAGAAGUUGACCGGCGGCUGGCCCGGCAGCCGCGUGAUGCGGUCGGCCGCCGCCGCAGAGGUGGUAGUAGCCGAGGCGGGCGCGCAGCUGGAGAGAGACGGCGCCAGGAUGGCGGCGGCCAGCAGGAUUAGCACGGCCGUCGCCAUUGGACUCUGUCUCUGUCUGCUGCAAGUGAGCCUCUCCAGUUUAAUGGCGACUUUGCGGGGGAGCGUGGAAAGCGUGGGAUGGUAGUUUACUCGACCUUCGUGUGGCGUAUACUGCGGCAUCGUCAUCGUUCAAUAAUAAAACUCAUCCCCUUCCUUGUGUUUCCAGCUUCAGCCGCGCCUACGCUGCUCAGCCUCCUCUACCAUGGCGUCUCUCCUCUUCCUCCCGCACACCACCCCCGCGCCCACCCUGCGCGCCAAGCUCCUGCCCGGUCCUCGAACCAUCAUCACCUGCGGCCCGCGCGACAACCGCGGCCCGCUCCAGCGGGGCCGUUCCCUCUCCACGGAGGCCAUCCACGCCGUGCAGGCCCUCAAGCGCCUCACCGCCGCCGACCGCUCCCCUCCCGCCGCCACGGCCGCGGCCUCCGCCGCCCUCGGCCGCCUCCUCCGCGCCGACCUCCUCGCCGCCAUGGCCGAGCUCCAGCGCCAGGGCCACUGGUCCCUCGCCCUCGCCGCGCUCCACGUCGCCCGCGCCGAGCCCUGGUACCGCCCCGACCCGGAGCUCUACGCCACCUUCGUCUCCUCCUCGCCCUCCAACGACCCCGCCGCCGCAGCUGCCGUGGACGCGCUCGUCGAGGCCUUCAUCGAGGAGAAGGAGCGGGGCGCCGCCGGCGGGUCCUCGGAGGGGGUGUGGGUCGGGGAGGACGUGUACAAGCUGACGCGGCUGGUGCGCGCGCUGGUGGCCAAGGGCAGGGCGCGCGCCGCCUGGAGGGUGUACGAGGCGGCGGUCAGGAAGGGAGGCUGCGAGGUGGACGAGUACAUGUACAGGGUGAUGGCCAAAGGGAUGAAGCGGCUGGGGCUUGACGAGGAAGCGGCGGAGGUGGAGGCGGACUUGGCCGACUGGGAGGCCAGGCACCUGCCCGACGAAAUGCGCCCGAGGGAGAAGAGCAAGACGGCUGUGACUGGCUCUGUUGUUUAGUUCAGUAAAUCGAGAGACCUAGUAAUGAUGAUUUUGCAUGCCUUUCAUAGUUAAAGACUGAUGAACAACAAUUUCUCCUCUUUCGACCUCCGUCUACGGUUUGCAGAUCGCGCAAGAAUGGACGUUACUACUUCACUUGUUUUGAAAUCUGACUGUUCCAUUGCAAACUGCAAUGUUUUUCAGGUUUAUCGUCAGUCACAGACUCACAGCUAGUGUGGCGUUGAGCUCGGAGCUGAAGGUGGAACUGUUAAAUUCUGUGACUAUCAUGUAAACUUUACAAAUAAGAAACAACCACAACGCUGAAUACAUCAUGGCCAAAACUAAAUCAGGAGGAGUCAGUCAAGUGAUAGACGCUACGUAAAUUAAGGCCAUCGCCCAUAUGCUUUUGCUUGCCUAGCAGAGAAGGAGCGAGUCGACGAACAAGUCGUCCCUGGGCUCGUCCUUGGUGUUGGUGAGCAUCUCCAGAGUGUAGGGGCCCUGUUGUCCGUGUCCGGCGGCAGCAGCAGAGGAAGAGGACGUCGUCGGGCGGCCGAGCGGCACGUCGUGGUUGUGCUUGCCCUCGUAGGUGGUGAUGACGGCGCGGUUGUCGUGCGACGCCCGCUCCACGCCGUUUCUUCCACAGAGUUGCAUCUCCGGAAAGUUCAGGAGGUUAAGGUACCCGAAUCUACCAAAUAAUGUUGUUCUCUGCCAAGUUUUCACCACCAAACAAUUGGAUUUUGUUGGUACUUAAAUAUGUGCUCGUUUCCUGCAAUUUCCGUUUAGAAUCCUGCCAUGGAAGUUGCAAACGUGCCCAAACGUAAGAAGAAGCGUGAGCGUGGAGGACAAGAACCUGCUCCGUAUUCGAUGUUACAGGUGUGUAAAAUACAGAUGUGCUGCUUACGUAUUGGAUCCCCUGAAGUGUGGUCCUUACCGUGCGCCUAUAUUUUGCAGAAAAUCAAGGAUUUCCUUUCGGGGCCUCUCCUGAAACUUUUGCUACUGGUAAUUGCUAUAGCUGGAUUGGUUGGGUUGGUGGUGGUGACGGUGAAAUUUAUUUACCAGAUUUCAGAUUGGAUGAACGAAAUGGAGGAGCAGAGGACCAGGCAAAGGAACCUGAGGGCUCCAAGGUUGUAAAAAUAUAUAUUUUGAGACUUUUAUAUAUGGGUUCUUGCGCGCCCAGUAACCAGUUUUGAGAUGUAGAUCAAUAAACGACUCUUUACUGUCGCGGUCCAGUCUCUGGAAGCGUAUAUCUGAAACUGAAAGGAUGCCAUUGUUUGGUUCAUUCGUUUGUAUCAAAGGAAAACGGCGUUGUAUUCUGUUUGAAUUGUGUUUUGAAGUUACCGUAAGGCUCCGAGCCUCCCGUUUCCAUUGCAUUAACGAAACCAGGGUUUUACAGCACUCAAAGAAAAGGAAAAAAAAAAGGUUCUGAGCAUCAGCUCAGCAGUCACUAAACAUUUUUAGCUGCAAAGUUAACAGCACGCCAGAGAGCUGAAGCAAAGUUACGGAGCAGAGUUGAAACGUCCCAGCAUCGCAUGGAGCUUCAGGUGAAUCUGGGCGCUGGGAGCUUCCUUUUGGAGCAGCUCGGGAGAAUAUCCCUGUAUACUAAAAAAUAAUAAUUUAUUUGGCCUAUGCAGGUCUCGAACCUGCGACCUUGGCCUUAUUAGGACCACGCUCUUACCAGCUAAGCUAAUAGGCCACUUUAAUUACAGUAAUUAAAGAAAGUUAUAUAUUUUUUUAAUUAGAAUACUAAAUCCGACAUGUAAUCCGACAGUAAAUCAAGCACAGGAGCAGAGUUAAAUAACUCAAGAAGGAUUCCCAACUGAACGAGCAGGCCACCAAUGCAAUGCAACGGCAGCAAUAGUAUUAUUGAUUGACAAAGAGAAAGGUGGAUUCUCUUCCGGCUGGGCGUACGUAGCAGGGAAUUCAAUCUCACGAAUCAGAUGCCCCACCCAACGCUGGAGAUGAAAAGGAAAAUAAAUGUAUUAAUAACUUACCUUGUUAAUUUGCUGACAUUAUCUUCUGGGACUACUCUCUCUGCCUUUCAUGCCCGCCGUCCAACGAUGCACGGUAGGCGCGAAAAAGGUCCAAAUUCCGUCUUCACUUUCUUUACCCUGAAAUCGUGAUGCUUCAGCUCAGUUCAGUUGUUCUAACAAGGCUUCAAGCCAACUUCUGAAGCUAUAUAUAUAUCUCACGAUCAGCUAGCACUCCAGGAGAAGUCCAGUCGAGAGAAAACCGACCAUGGGGGCCGCGCCGUCUUCGCCAAAAGAGACGUCUUCCGUGUCAUCGUGCACCGGCGAUGGCCGUGCCGUGCCGAUGGCGCACAGUGCUGAUUCCACCUCUGGCACAAACCUGCAGGCCCAGUCCAAGCGAGCGCCGGCUCCUCACAUGUUCCGGGAGAUCGUCGCCAACGAGAAGGCUACUGAUUUAGCUGCAAUGGAAGAUCAGGCCUGCACAGGGAUCUUCUUGGCCGGAAAAACAAAGGUUCAUUAAUUUGCUUCUGAAAACAUGAACUAGCAUGACAUGGAAUCCUGUAUACUCCCUCGGAUCCUAAAUUUUUGUCCAAAUAUGGAUGUAUAUACUCUUAAAAGGCGUCUAGAUACAUGUAAUAUUUCAACAACAAUUUAGGAUCGCAGGGAGUAAUAUAUAAGCUUUGGCUUUUGAUUUUGAACAUGGUUAUGCUUCAAACUUUCAAUGAAUGCAGAAGUACUGGGUGGAUGAGAGGACCAGGCACAACUGCUUCAUGCUGCUCCCAAGAGGCCUAGCCGUCACUUGGAGUGAAGACCCCAGAUACUGGACUUGGCAUGCCCUGAAAGAAGGAAGGUACUGUAAUUCAGAAUCACAACAUGUACAUCUACAUACGUAAAGAUGAUUUUUUUUAGUUGUUCACAGAUCAUGCUCUCAGGAAUUAGACUUAAUUACCAUGCUGUUUCUGAACCUGACAUGUUUAACAAAUCAGCGACGGCGAAGCUGAAAAAAUCGAGGCAGUGAUGCUGCAGAACGUCUGCUGGUUGGAGGUUCAUGGGAAGCUGGAGCUGUCCCAUCUUACACCGGGAGUCACCUAUGAGGUUGUCUUCGAAGUGAUGCUCAAAGAUCCAGCCUAUGGAUGGUCUGUGCCGGUGAACCUCCAGCUCAAACUCCCCGACGGAACGGUCCAGCAGCGCAAAGAGAAUCUGCUGGAGAAGCCCAGGGAGAAGUGGCUGCAGCUCAAGGUUGGGGAGGUUAAACCACAGAUGGGGCAGAAUGGAGAGGUUGGGAUCUCUAUGUUUGAGUAUGAUGGUGGGGAGUGGAAGAGGGGGCUCCUCAUCAAGGGCAUCAAGAUCAUCCCAAAAAAAUGAUCUGGUUGGUGUUUUAUUAUCGAUGAUCGAUAGCUUUUUGUUUGUCAAAUGCGCUAAGAUCAGCGUGAUGCAUGGGAAUAAUAUUUGUGCUGUUACAAAAUCCAAGACUUCCGAAAGAAUGUUUAUCUUCCCAAAAUUCUUGCACUAGAAAGAAUAUGAGAGUACCUGGUUAUUCUGAACCUCCGAGUAGUACUUCUUUUCUGUAACAUAUGCCACGCUUAAAACAUCUUUUAUUUUUCAAAGACGGAACUAAAUGCACGUUGUUUUGUAUGAGAAGAAGAAUGCCCACAAAGCACAAAAGCAUACAAUUCACCAAGGUUAACAUAUUCCAAGCUUAACAUGUUGCUUAACAUCUUUGAUAAUUAUGUCAGCAAGAGGGUCAGGGAGACCCCAAGCCUGCAACUUGAUCUAGAAUGGUACUGUUGUCUCUUCUACAGAUAAUAGUGAACAUGGUAGCAUGGUAUUGUGUCAAAUAAGUACGUACGUGAAUAUUCCAAAUUACAUUACAUUAACAUUCCAGUGCUCAGUAUACAUGAAAACUGAAAACAAAACUCUCAUCAGACAACUUUGAUGGGAAUUAUGUUCCAAUUUCUAAAGUUACUGCACUGAAAUAAUUAAUAAUGCCAAGUAGCCAACAUCAAUCGAACAGAGCAUAUCUCCUCAACUGAAACGUGUGAGCCAGGCUUGAAAUUGUACAACAAGAUGGCUUCAUAGCGUGACCUUCCAUUUUAAGCGAAAGAAAUAUCUAAAACGACUGAAUGCUAUCUACAGGCCGAGGCAUGGGCUUAUCUUGCAAAAAAUGCUCAAAAAGCUUCAAGGCCUGUUGUGGACGAUGGAGGGGAACCUCGUGUCCUGCUCCUCGGAUUGUCACCAACGUCAAACCUUUGUACACUUGGCACCAACCAGCAACCUAAGCAAGAUCCACACCAUUAGAAUGAUGAGUAUAGCUGUAGCAAGUGAAAAAGGGAAUAAAACUGCCAGUGUUUCUUUAGCACAGGUUGCUGACUAACCUCCUCCUCCUCAUACCAGGGAUACCAGUUAGUGACAGUCGGAAGAUAGAGCGCAUCAAUGGAGUAUCUUGUAGCAGUGAGGGGUACCACGGAAUCAGCAUCACCACUGUCAAAUUUCCGAAUUUAAAUGAUUAAAUCCUCAGAAGGACAGAAUGGCUGUGCUAUGGUACCAUACAGAGAGUGAUGAUCAUAGAUCAGCAUUGGCACCACUGUCAAAUAUUUAUGUUCCAGUGUGAAUCAUGUUUUCAACAUAAAUUUGGUGUACCUGAAGACCCAUAUUCUUAUGCCAGCAGCAAUAAGUUCAUGGUAUAUAGGAAGCAUAGACCUCGGUGAAUCUUUCCAAUGCUCAAACAAGUCAUCACUGCGAAUUUUUGGCAUAAGUUUAGCGCAAACUAUCACUAACAAGCAAGCUUUACUGUCAGUUAUGAUGAAUGAGUAGUUGUGAGUAAAACAAGAUGAAACCAGUUGAACAAACCUGCAGGGGUUCCAGGCAUACGGCAUUCCAGUGACAUUGGCAUGAAAAGCUUUCUGCACUUCUGGUAGAUUAUAGUACUUUGUGGAGUACUUUUCAGUGCAAGGAUCAUAUCCUCUUGGCAACCAGGGCUAUAUUUGAACAAAAAAAUAUGUGUCUAAACAACGGUACUUUAAACAUGUGCACAAUACAUAAUACCGAUAUACCAUGCUGGUACAGUAGUGUACUAGCUUAGCUAUGAACAAAUUAUAGUUCUAGUAGUGGAUUAGCUCACCCUGCGGCCCUUUAUUAGCCUCCGCUUACGCAAUGAGGCCUUCUUACAGGUUGGUGUAUAGAUACUGUAUGCAUCAAUCAGGCCUUCCUCGGCUUCAGCUACAUCAUAGAUCUGGUUGCAUGCCUUGGAAGCAUGCGCAGAUGAAUCAAACUCACAGGCCAACUGCAGCUUCUGAUAGGUAUCAUCAGAGAUCAGCCCAUGCGUCCACCAGUACUCGAAAGUUCCAACGUAAUCAUGGUAAUCAUCAAUAACGGCAUUUCCGACCUAGAACAGCGAUUGAUUAUUUGAUCAUAUGUAACAAGAAAAAUGUCCAGACCAAUUAAGGGAGAAUCAAAAGAAGAGCUGAUUAGUUUCUGACCAUG
RNAcentral lists this long non-coding RNA (7893 nucleotides) under Brachypodium distachyon (stiff brome). Its description in RNAcentral is "long non-coding RNA (BDIS_LNC001532)". Lineage: Eukaryota; Viridiplantae; Streptophyta; Magnoliopsida; Poales; Poaceae. The record is from RNAcentral.